AGUGAACGCUGGCGGUAGGCCUAACACAUGCAAGUCGAACGGCAGCACAGUAAGAGCUUGCUCUUACGGGUGGCGAGUGGCGGACGGGUGAGGAAUACAUCGGAAUCUACUUUUUCGUGGGGGAUAACGUAGGGAAACUUACGCUAAUACCGCAUACGACCUACGGGUGAAAGCAGGGGAUCUUCGGACCUUGCGCGAUUGAAUGAGCCGAUGUCGGAUUAGCUAGUUGGCGGGGUAAAGGCCCACCAAGGCGACGAUCCGUAGCUGGUCUGAGAGGAUGAUCAGCCACACUGGAACUGAGACACGGUCCAGACUCCUACGGGAGGCAGCAGUGGGGAAUAUUGGACAAUGGGCGCAAGCCUGAUGCAGCCAUACCGCGUGGGUGAAGAAGGCCUUCGGGUUGUAAAGCCCUUUUGUUGGGAAAGAAAAGCAGCAGGUUAAUACCCCGCUGUUCUGACGGUACCCAAAGAAUAAGCAACGGCUAACUUCGUG
Molecule: ribosomal RNA, 492 nt
Filed under: uncultured bacterium
Lineage: Bacteria
Description: partial 16S ribosomal RNA
Rfam family: Bacterial small subunit ribosomal RNA
Source: RNAcentral